GGGGAGGAGCCCAGAGCCUGAAUCAGCAUGUGUGUUAGUGGAAGCGUCUGGAAAGGCGCGCGAUACAGGGUGACAGCCCCGUACACAAAAGCGCAUGUGCUGUGAGCUCGAUGAGUAGGGCGGGACACGUGGUAUCCUGUCUGAAUAUGGGGGGACCAUCCUCCAAGGCUAAAUACUCCUGACUGACCGAUAGUGAACCAGUACCGUGAGGGAAAGGCGAAAAGAACCCCGGCGAGGGGAGUGAAAAAGAACCUGAAACCGUGUACGUACAAGCAGUGGGAGCCCCACCACCAAAGCAUUCUCUGGUGUUGAAGGCCCUGCAAAGCAGCAUCGCGGUGGCGGAGCGUCGUUUGCGACGCCCAACACACAAAACAAGCGGUGAAUGCUUUGGGGUGGGGUGACUGCGUACCUUUUGUAUAAUGGGUCAGCGACUUAUAUUCUGUAGCAAGGUUAACCGAAUAGGGGAGCCGGAGGGAAACCGAGUCUUAAUUGGGCGUUAAGUUGCAGGGUAUAGACCCGAAACCCGGUGAUCUAGCCAUGGGCAGGUUGAAGGUUGGGUAACACUAACUGGAGGACCGAACCGACUAAUGUUGAAAAAUUAGCGGAUGACCUGUGGCUGGGGGUGAAAGGCCAAUCAAACCGGGAGAUAGCUGGUUCUCCCCGAAAGCUAUUUAGGUAGCGCCUCGUGAAUUCAUCUCCGGGGGUAGAGCACUGUUUCGGCUAGGGGGCCAUCCCGGCUUACCAACCCGAUGCAAACUGCGAAUACCGGAGAAUGUUAUCACGGGAGACACACGGCGGGUGCUAACGUCCGUCGUGAAGAGGGAAACAACCCAGACCGCCAGCUAAGGU
This 849-nucleotide ribosomal RNA is filed under the name Salmonella enterica subsp. enterica serovar Typhimurium str. CDC_2009K1288. RNAcentral describes it as "bacterial LSU rRNA". It matches the Rfam family "Bacterial large subunit ribosomal RNA", at positions 289 to 1045 of the family's 2925-position model. The record is from RNAcentral. Lineage: Bacteria; Pseudomonadati; Pseudomonadota; Gammaproteobacteria; Enterobacterales; Enterobacteriaceae.